This 72-nucleotide transfer RNA is filed under the name Dictyobacter arantiisoli. It matches the Rfam family "tRNA". From Rfam's summary of the family: Transfer RNA (tRNA) molecules are approximately 80 nucleotides in length. Lineage: Bacteria; Bacillati; Chloroflexota; Ktedonobacteria; Ktedonobacterales; Dictyobacteraceae. The record is from Rfam by way of RNAcentral.
UCCUUGAUAGCUCAACGGUAGAGCAAUCGGCUGUUAACCGAUUGGUUGUAGGUUCGAAUCCUACCCAAGGAG